RNAcentral lists this unclassified non-coding RNA (485 nucleotides) under uncultured Bordetella sp. RNAcentral describes it as "partial 16S-23S ribosomal RNA intergenic spacer". It matches the Rfam family "Bacterial small subunit ribosomal RNA", at positions 1003 to 1499 of the family's 1533-position model. Lineage: Bacteria; Pseudomonadati; Pseudomonadota; Betaproteobacteria; Burkholderiales; Alcaligenaceae. The record is from RNAcentral.
GAGAUUUGGGAGUGCUCGCAGAAGAACCGGAACACAGGUGCUGCAUGGCUGUCGUCAGCUCGUGUCGUGAGAUGUUGGGUUAAGUCCCGCAACGAGCGCAACCCUUGUCAUUAGUUGCUACGAAGGGUACUCUAAUGAGACUGCCGGUGACAAACCGGAGGAAGGUGGGGAUGACGUCAAGUCCUCAUGGCCCUUAUGGGUAGGGCUUCACACGUCAUACAAUGGUCGGGACAGAGGGUCGCCAACCCGCGAGGAGUAAUCCAGAAACCCGAUCGUAGUCCGGAUCGCAGUCUGCAACUCGACUGCGUGAAGUCGGAAUCGCUAUUAAUCGCGGAUCAGCAUGUCGCGGUGAAUAUUCCAAGGAUACUUGUACACACCGCCCGUCACACCAUGGGAGUGGGUUUUACCAGAAGUAGUUAGCCUAACCGUAAGGAGGCGAUUACCACGGUAGGAUUCAUGACUGGGGUGAAGUCGUAACAAGGUAG